CAUACGAUCUAUGGAUGAAAGCGGGGGAGUCGCAAGACCUCGCGCGAUUGGAGCGGCCGAUAUCAGAUUAGGUAGUUGGUGAGGUAAAGGCUCACCAAGCCGACGAUCUGUAGCUGGUCUGAGAGGACGGACCAGCCACACUGGGACUGAGACACGGCCCAGACUCCUACGGGAGGCAGCAGUGGGGGAAUUUUGGACAAUGGGCGCAAGCCUGAUCCAGCAAUGCCGCGUGCAGGAUGAAGGCCUUCGGGUUGUAAACUGCUUUUGUACGGAACGAAACGGUGAGCUCUAAUACAGUUUGCUAAUGACGGUACCGUAAGAAUAAGCACCGGCUAACUACGUG
RNAcentral lists this ribosomal RNA (343 nucleotides) under uncultured bacterium. RNAcentral's name for it is "bacterial SSU rRNA". It matches the Rfam family "Bacterial small subunit ribosomal RNA", at positions 172 to 507 of the family's 1533-position model. The record is from RNAcentral.